GCAAACUUGGUCAUUUAGAGGAAGUAAAAGUCGUAACAAGGUUUCCGUAGGUGAACCUGCGGAAGGAUCAUUAUCGAGUGAAGGGCUCUCUAAGAACCCGACCUCCCAACCCUUGUGUUCUUUACCACUUUGCUUCGGUGGGCCCGUCACUGUAGUGACCGCUGAAAGGUUAUAUAUCUUCAAGUAGCCUUUGGGCCUGUGCCUGCCGGGGACACCUAAACACUUGUAAUGAAAAAAGGUUGUCUGAGUUAUAAAGAAAAUAAGUUAAAAAACUUUCAACAACGGAUCUCUUGGUUCCGGCAUCGAUGAAGAACGCAGC
Molecule: unclassified non-coding RNA, 319 nt
Filed under: uncultured fungus
Lineage: Eukaryota; Fungi
Description: partial contains small subunit ribosomal RNA, internal transcribed spacer 1, and 5.8S ribosomal RNA
Rfam family: Eukaryotic small subunit ribosomal RNA (bases 1-73)
Source: RNAcentral